GACCGAAAGGCUAAGUGUCUCUGCCACCCUGUGUCCCUGCCUCAUGCCACACGUCUCCGCUGGAGGACGGACGAACAGGUUUCUCCAAGUAAUUCUGCUCUGUGCUGCAGAUUAGAAUCUGACUCAAGCAAAAGCAUUCCCCAUGUACCAGGUUACCACAGUAAGGCAGCAGAUCUGGUCCCUCUGAGGAAGCAAUCCACAGUCUUUUCAAGAAAAUGUUUUACCUGAGAGUCAAAAGAUAAUCCAGAAACGAGAAAUUAUUAUUGCAACCCAGUGUUAAAGUUUCAUAUAAAUCAAAAUCUCAAAAUCAUCCAAACCCCUCUUGUUUUGGAUAAAUCAUAACACCUAUAAAUACAAACUUCAUCUAUAAUUGAUAGAAGUAUGACAUUUAGAAAAAUAUAAAAUGUCAACGGAGACAUCUUUCAUCAAAGGCCAUGUUUAUAACAAUACAAGGAAGGAAUGCAUGAACAUCAAAGGAAGAUUUGGCAAGAGACCAAAGAAGAGAAAGUACAAAGCAGAGAAAUUUUUCUGUGUUUAUCAAGCAGAAGGAAGCAGUGCUGACCAGGACAAAACUGCUGCUCUCCCCAGGGCUCUCUGGAAUUAAGAAAUCUGGGAGACAGAGAGAGUUCUCUUUAUUUUCCAUAACCUAGAAAAGAGAACCAUCAUGAUGACCUGUUUUUCUUCAUGCCAAGUGAGCAAGCAGGAUAUUGACACUUAAAAAACAAACAAACAAAAAAAAACAUGCAUUGAGACCACUGGAAGUAAAUGUUCUCCCCUGCAAUUAACAAUUUGGCCCUGUGGUUCAUGCAUCACUAUCUUCUGAGCUGGUUUAAGGUUUCAGUCUUUGGAAAGUUGAUAAACUCCAACCUCCCUGCACCAGCAAACCAUAAAUUGAGGCCCUCAUGGGGAGCUCUCACCCUGGGUCCUGCUUAGCUAUGCAAUC
Long non-coding RNA from Fukomys damarensis (Damara mole-rat), 943 nucleotides. RefSeq lists it as uncharacterized. The transcript has 4 exons. The record is from RefSeq and is a predicted model, not a curated record. NCBI's taxonomy places the organism in Eukaryota, Metazoa, Chordata, Mammalia, Rodentia, Bathyergidae.